Molecule: transfer RNA, 66 nt
Filed under: Cronartium ribicola 11-2
Lineage: Eukaryota; Fungi; Basidiomycota; Pucciniomycetes; Pucciniales; Coleosporiaceae
Description: tRNA-Lys (CTT) (tRNA-Lys-CTT-2-1)
Source: RNAcentral
GGGUGCUAGUGGUAAAAGACAGCACUCUUGAUGCUGAGGUCAUGGGUUCAAAUCCCACCAGACACA